Molecule: ribosomal RNA, 184 nt
Filed under: uncultured archaeon
Lineage: Archaea
Description: partial 16S ribosomal RNA
Rfam family: Archaeal small subunit ribosomal RNA
Source: RNAcentral
GCGGUAAUACCAGCUCUCCGAGUGGUAGGGACGAUUAUUGGGCUUAAAGCGUCCGUAGCCGGCUCGGCAAGUCUCUCGUUAAAUCCAGCAACUCAAUUGUUGGACUGCAAGAGAUACUGUCAGGCUAGGAGACGGAAGAGGCCGACGGUAUUCUCGGGGUAGGGGUGAAAUCCUAUAAUCCCGG